Molecule: long non-coding RNA, 583 nt
Filed under: Monodelphis domestica (gray short-tailed opossum)
Lineage: Eukaryota; Metazoa; Chordata; Mammalia; Didelphimorphia; Didelphidae
Description: lncRNA (ENSMODG00000046075.1)
Source: RNAcentral
AUGAAACCGCGCCUCGGAGGAAAGUGGCGGCGCCAACCUUUCUUUGCGUCCCCGCCCUUCAACCCCCAUCAUGCCUCCUCCCUCCCCUCUUUACCACCCCUCCUCCCCUCACGCGACCACGCGCACGCUCGCGCGCCCGGGGAAGCCGCCUCAGUCGCUGCGUCUUUGCGCCGCCAUUCGGGGAAGGAGCAGCGCGCGCGCGCAGCAGGGGCCCCACGGACCCAGUCUAGGAGGCCGCCGCCGCCGCCGCCGCCGCCUCCGCCUCCGCCGCUGCUGCUCCGUGGCCUCCGGUCAGCGAGGAACGGAGGGUGUCGGUCCCACCUCCUUUGGUCCAGCUCUCUCCAGCACACCACGUGCCCGCCGCUUCCCCCCCCCUCCCCCAGCCCUGCACGAUUCAACUCCUAUCCUUCAUGUUUGCUUCUCUAUGCAGUGAAUGCCAGCUAUUCUGUGGCUUAGAUAAAAAGCCAUGUAAGAUAUCUGGUUUUUGAAAGCCAGUUUUGAGGCAUCUGGUUCUACUUCACACUUAGCAGACUGGCCAAUAUGACAGCAAAGGAAAAUAAUAAAUGUUGGAGGGAAUGCGGCA